Molecule: long non-coding RNA, 213 nt
Filed under: Prunus persica (peach)
Lineage: Eukaryota; Viridiplantae; Streptophyta; Magnoliopsida; Rosales; Rosaceae
Description: long non-coding RNA (PPER_LNC002333)
Source: RNAcentral
UCAUCCAUUAAUUUCCAAUUUUUCUCAGGGGUCAUCUGCCCAUGAAAAUUCCAAUGAGGUUAAAUUCAAAUCUCUCAAACACAAAUUCUCAAUUAGUGGGCCACACUUACCCAUUAAUUUUCAUAUCAAUUUCCGAACUACGUUGGUUUGAUCCCGUCAAGGGUAUGUAUGUAGUCUAGCAUCCUAGUAGACGCAACCGCAACCAAAUUUGAA